RNAcentral lists this long non-coding RNA (3788 nucleotides) under Bemisia tabaci. Its description in RNAcentral is "lncRNA ENSSSA1UGG003367". Lineage: Eukaryota; Metazoa; Arthropoda; Insecta; Hemiptera; Aleyrodidae. The record is from RNAcentral.
GCAUUUGGCGAUCAACCAUUGUAACCGGAAACUCUGAAUAUUUCCGGCAAAUAUUCUUUUGAGGCUGUAUACUUUCGCGCACAUUCAAAGAGUGUUUCCGUCAAUCAGCAUGAUGUAACCGGAAAUGCUGAAUAUUUCCGGUAAAUAUUUAUUUGACGUUGUAACUUUUGCGUGCAAUCAGAUUGUGUUUCUGGCGAUCAGCUAGUGCAACGGAAAAUGUUACAUAGAUAUUGAUAUAUAUUUUCCACUUAAGGUUCUCCUUCAAUUUCUCAGCUUAGGCAACAAACUUAAGGGUUAGCAUGAAUAGUUAUCACGAUAGGAACACGCAUCUAUCCUGCUCCAUAAGCUUUGAUCGUAAAGCUUUUCAUACCGUAAACAUCCCUUCAGGGAAUUGCAGCACGAUCGAUAUUGUUCGGUGGCAUAGUAUACAUAACGGUAGCGAAUUCUACUCCCCCUCUAUGGCAAAUUAAAUCCAAAUUUGCACGUGACGUUCGUGCUGUAGGAGAAUCUUCUGAUGCAGAACCAGCUUAGCAUUUUAGUAGAUAUUUAAUCCAGAGAGGCCUUUUGAUUUUUUGCUUGUCUUACUUCUGGUCCGAUGAAGUAUGGAAAUCUCUGGACCUAAUUUACACCUGUAAGAUUCCUAACCCCCGUAUGUAGCUUAGACAUUUAUGCAACUUUUCAUUGAGAUAAUUGAGGAGAGGAAGACUUUUGUUCUCAUGUAAGGCUUCUGAUAGAGAGGAAGUAGGACAAUUUCAACACCGUGAGAGUUUGGACAUUUUUUGCCUAAUUUUAAUUCGUUAAAACAUGAAAGCUUUGGUGUAGGUAUGGUACUUUUGUGAUACAAUAUUUGAGAAACUUUAAGCCCAAUUCACACUAUCAAACAUUUCAUCUGACAUAAUGGAACGAAAAGUUGGAUGAAAAGCUGAGCGAAGAGUGAUUGAAUCCAUUUUUUUUUUGCGUUCAUCAAAUUUUUCAUCAAAUUGUCUUUUUUUCGCGUCAUUAUCAUACUAUCCAACUUUUCAUUCUACAAGUUGUAUUCAAGAGUUGAAUGGACAGUUUGACAGUGUGAAUUGGGAUUUACCAACAAUUUUUUCAAUAAAGAAAGCACUUUGUAAUUCUAACCAAAACUGUGAAUGUCAUAAAGCGGUUGAGCGACUUUUUCAAAAAAAAAAUUGUCUUACAUAUAUUUGCCUCGCUCAAAAGAAGAAAACUGCUGAGAGCAACUGACAAUGAGACACUAGGUAAAGAUGAGUUUUUUAAUACGUGAGCUAUCGUCAUGCAACUUUUUUAGAGCCUCUGCCAUUAUUCAGCAAAUAAUAUGAAAAUAUAACGGUAUCGGUUUUUAGUGAAACUACUGCAAUUGUGCGGAAUAUCCAGCAAAUUUAAUCUACUUAUUACUGAAAGCUACAAUCACCAGCUAAUUUUCUUUUGUAACGUUCUGGCAAGCCCUAUCUAAGCCAAAAACGACUAGAAGGCAAUCUAAGUUUUUAUCUUCUGUUAGCACUUUUUCAAUUUGCUACCUCAUACACUGCAAAAUGACAUGUUUUGGUCAUGGUGUAAGUAAUUUUCAAAGUUAAUUGUGUACAAAAAAAUGCACUAUUGGUUCUGCACUAUGGUUAUUCCUUUUUAUCUCAGAGCAAUACUUAAAAGUAACUUUGAUAGGCAUCAUCUACUUACUGAAAAAAGUUUAAAUUUUUUUGCAGAGUUCUUCUUAGUACUUUAUGGCACUAUGGCAUAUCUAAUGAGAUAAACGAAACUUGUGUGAAUUCACUUGCCAAAAGUUGGAAUACUCACAUCUCCUUACUCUUCGAGUCCUUUUUUGAUACUCCAGGAAAAAGCUAAUAAAAAAUCAGUUUGGAGGUAUGAUAUUUCAAAAAAAAAAAUAAUAAAUAUUGACAGGGAUGAGGUAAUGGAAUAAAAUAUGAAAUACGUACGUGAAAAAGUAACUCAUAAAGUUGUAGACUAUGGUUCAUUUUUAAUCUGAGGUUCUCAGUGGCGAGGCGUGACUGAUCGAUCAUCGAUAUUUCCCGAUUUGAAGCAAUGGUAAAGAAUCUAUUAUUAAGGUAUUCGUUGCGAACACCCUGUUUAUCGAUCCUUUUCCAUAGGUUUAAAUGACAGAUCAAUCGAUAUAUCGCAAAGCAGGCAACGCCAAUGGAGGCUCUUGAGCUAUUGCCUUCUUUCAUGUUCCCCCAGAACUCACUUAUCGACCAUUAAAACUUUCAACUUUCUGAUGUCACUGAUGGUCAUUAAUUACCUAUUACUACACGUAUUCUCUUAUUUUCCUUGUUGAAACCCAUAUCUUUUUGCUUAAAACCUCCACGCUUUCACCAGACGACGACUUUUUCUAUUAAUACACAACUAAACUUUCCAUUCCUGCCGUGUAAAAGAGGAACAAUAUACGAGCCUUGAAGCAUUGUCAAUUCUCCUGGGGUAAAAUGAAAUUUUGGAGAAAUUAUGAAUAGGUAUUUUUUCCUCCAAUUGUUCAGGAAAUUUAUUCCACAAUUCAAUAAAAUAUAUUUAACAAUAUUGUAACGAAAAACACAUACAAUUUUCCUCGAAAAAAAAUAUUUUAUGGGAAGAAAUUGACGAACUUUAAAAUUGCAUUCGUCGUUUUUCCUUGGCAUGCCACAACAAAUUUGUGGUUUUUGUUCCGAUGACCUUUAAAAAGCUGAAAACAUACUCCAAAAUACGCCGGUUUCAGAUCGUUCAUUUUGCGUAAAGAACACAGCUAUGACGCAAAAGUACCAGCAGAGAAUACUAAGUUUUUCACCCAAAUCAUUUCUUCAUUGACAGCUCCGACCUGAAAAGCGUUAUGUAUUUAUUUUCGCAUUUUGAUGUUAUUCGCGAACACGCCAGUCUUUUUACGGGAAGAUGUCCAUUGUCGCAUCGGCACUGUACCGCGUGCUUUAAAAUGACAUGGGUCUCAUUGCACACGGGGCUGCAAUGACGAACCCACCAAUAAUAAUCAAAGAGCAGGUAGCAUGCGGUAAAAAAUUGCGUCAUAGGACUCACGGAUAGCGUUAACACCACGCGAUUUAUGUUUCAUUCACGCAAAAAAAUUACGUCACCGGAGGAUUCCUGAAAAUGUUAUUUUCCAAAAGAUACGCGCUAAAUUUGUGAUGCAUGCUUCGCCAUAAAUAGAUAAUUUUUCUACAUUGAUCUGAGAAAAUUACAAAAAUCCCUCUCUUCAAUUUCAAUGAAUUUCGUAAUAAAGAUUUGCGAGCGAAGCCGCGCUCGUCGUGUACUAAUUUCUGUUGAACCAUCCGUCCUGAUUCUCAAUAAUGUCAGUGUUCACAGUAUUUUUUCUCAGUAGGUUCAUUUUUUAAUUCGAAAAAUUUAAACAUAUUUUUUACGAUGAGUAGGGAGAGCGAUGGUGAGGUUUUUCUCUUGUUUUUACUUUCCUAUCCUGAGAUUCAUUCAGCGGAAUUGCAUUUUUUUAACAUCAUGAUCCACAACAUCAUAUUCUUUCCGCGAAUAUUAUAAUGAACGAAUUGUAACUUUUUACUCAGCCUAAGUAUGCGAAUUGUUUUCAAGGAAUGAAGGAUCCAUGGGAAACGGAGACUAGUCGCGUGAACAAAGCGACUUUUUUCCAAUCGAAGUUUUGUUGAGUUUUCCGCCUUAUCUCUUGCGAAAAACUUGCGUUUCUCUCUUAAAUAUAUUUUUCCUUUUUGAAUACGAAAAUAUUUUUUAUUUUUUUAAAAAUAAAAUAAAUGGCAUGGCAUGCUGCGGCACGUCAAGCGGGCGGUCAGCACGCAACGCGCAUCGGCGCCUACAAACCUAACAGGGAU